This 428-nucleotide ribosomal RNA is filed under the name uncultured bacterium. RNAcentral's name for it is "bacterial SSU rRNA". It matches the Rfam family "Bacterial small subunit ribosomal RNA", at positions 8 to 484 of the family's 1533-position model. The record is from RNAcentral.
AGAGUUUGAUCCUGGCUCAGGAUUAACGCUGGCGGUGUGUAUAAUACAUGCAAGUCGAACGAGUCUUCGGACUAGUGGCGGACGAGCGAGUAACACGUUGGAACCUGCCCCGAACUCAGGGAUAAGCACUGGAAACGGUGUCUAAUACCGGAUAGUCCCGAAAGGGUAAAGUUUUUCGGUUCGGGAGGGGCCUGCGGCCUAUCAGCUAGUUGGUAAGGUAAAGGCUUACCAAGGCUACGACGGGUAGCUGGUUUGAGAGAAUGACCAGUCGCGAUGGGACUGAGACACGGCCCAUACUCCUACGGGAGGCAGCAGUAGGGAAUCUUCCGCAAUGGGCGAAAGCCUGACGGAGCAACACCGCGUGGUUGAUGAAGCCCCUUGGGGUGUAAAGACCUUUUCUGGGGGAAGAAUUAUGACGGUACCNNUAG